Molecule: RNA transcript, 955 nt
Organism: Mangifera indica (mango)
Lineage: Eukaryota; Viridiplantae; Streptophyta; Magnoliopsida; Sapindales; Anacardiaceae
Exons: 7
Source: RefSeq, a predicted model, not a curated record
UAGUUCAGACAAUUUCCACAAGGAAACAGUCUCGUAUUUAGGAUUUGUUUUUUCACAAGAUCUAGGGUUGUGUUUCGAGUUUUCAGAGCCAUAAGUGAGGUGUUCGAAGGAUACGAGCGCCAAUACUGCAAGCUCUCUGCAAAUCUUUCAAGAAUAUGCAACUCAACUUCUCUCCUUUCCGAUACAGAUCAGAAGAAGGAAAAGGUUCCGGAGAUAAAAUCUGGUCUAGAUGAUGCUGACGUUUUGCCAAUUUAUAAUCAACUUCUAUCAAGCCGCCAAAGGAGAUUCUCAAAUGCCUAGGACAACCACAUGCGCCUCCUGGGAUCACAACAGCCCCGUGCUUAUAAGCAAGCCAACAAACAACCGCAUAGUCAUCUGGUAUUUAUUAGAACAUAUGCAGAACAGUCUGGAAUUUAUUAGGAUAAGAACUUUGAGUCAAAACAACGUCAAUGGCACUAUCCUUGAGUCACUUAUAAGUCUUUCAAACUUGAUCAAUAUGUAAGUGAUUCCAGAGAGCAACUGACGCCUGCAUUAAGUAUAAAUAAUUUUUUUCUAAGUUUUUGAUUCCAUAGUUGAACUUCUUUUUGAAGUCAGCAUGAUUCCAAUAAUCUCAGCAGUCAAAUUCCUGCACAUUUAUUCCAAAUUCUUUCACGGGAAAUCAUUUGAAUUGUGAUAAAAAUCUUCCCCACCCCAUGAAUCUAGGAAUAAUGAUUCAGGUGGUUUAAAGAAGCCCAUUAUCAGAAUUAUAGUUGGGAUUAUUGGAGGAUUUCAUAUUCUUUUUGGAGCCUCUCUAUUUUUCUUGUGCAAGGCUAAACAUAAAGGCUACUGGCGUGAAGUAUUUGUAGAUGUUGCAGUUUUCCUUUUCAGUAUUUGGCUUAAAUUUUUGGAGCAUUUGUGCAUGGCUUAAACAAUAUUUUCAUUCGGAUGGUGAUGAACAAUGAAGUAAUCUUUAUGC